AGUGAACGCUGGCGGUAGGCCUAACACAUGCAAGUCGAACGGCAGCACAGUAAGAGCUUGCUCUUACGGGUGGCGAGUGGCGGACGGGUGAGGAAUACUUCGGAAUCUACUUUUUCGUGGGGGAUAACGUAGGGAAACUUACGCUAAUACCGCAUACGACCUACGGGUGAAAGCAGGGGAUCUUCGGACCUUGCGCGAUUGAAUGAGCCGAUGUCGGAUUAGCUAGUUGGCGGGGUAAAGGCCCACCAAGGCGACGAUCCGUAGCUGGUCUGAGAGGAUGAUCAGCCACACUGGAACUGAGGCACGGUCCAGACUCCUACGGGAGGCAGCAGUGGGGAAUAUUGGACAAUGGGCGCAAGCCUGAUCCAGCCAUACCGCGUGGGUGAAGAAGGCCUUCGGGUUGUAAAGCCCUUUUGUUGGGAAAGAAAAGCAGCAGGUUAAUACCCCGCUGUUCUGACGGUACCCAAAGAAUAAGCACCGGCUAACUUCGUG
RNAcentral lists this ribosomal RNA (492 nucleotides) under uncultured bacterium. RNAcentral's name for it is "partial 16S ribosomal RNA". It matches the Rfam family "Bacterial small subunit ribosomal RNA", at positions 29 to 507 of the family's 1533-position model. The record is from RNAcentral.